Non-coding RNA from Salmo salar (Atlantic salmon), 911 nucleotides. The record is from the annotation of a RefSeq genome assembly. Lineage: Eukaryota; Metazoa; Chordata; Actinopteri; Salmoniformes; Salmonidae.
UUUACUCUUCUCCCAUUGAUCUCACAGUAGCAGACAUGGGACCCUGGCUGAGCAAUUUACUGAUUCUUGCUGCAUGUUGUUAUGAAUGCAGAGGAGAAGACUCAGUCAUUCAGCCAUCAGGAGAUGUGAUCGCUACUGAGGGAGAACAGGUCACACUGGGCUGUCAAUUUGAUGCAGUUAAUAUGAAGGGUCUCUACCUGUUCUGGUACAAGCAUGAAGUAAACGGCUUCCCAGAGUUCAUGCUGGGACGUUUUCCUUUUGGAAGUAAAAAUGCAACUGAGUUCAAGGAUAGAUUUGAUGCCCAUCUCGAUGCAGACUCCAAGUCAGUCCCCUUGAAGAUCCAGAGGUUGCAGCCGUCUGACUCUGCUGUGUACUACUGUGCUCUGAGGCCCACUGUGUCAACAGGAUAUACAGCCUCAUUACAAAAAUGAUUUGAUAGUGUGAUGUAAGACUCUUAGAGAGCCUAGUGAAAGCUCCUCCUCAAUGCUUCCUAAGGCAGAGUUAAAGAAGUGGUGACACAUACUUGUGUGUUUUCUCUCUCCUUACCUACCCAUCUCACAGUAGACAUGGAAUCUUGGCUGAAGAAAUUUCUGGUUCUUUCUGCAUUUUGUUGGGGUAUGAUACAUUUUUGGGAUUUGCUUACUGCAUCAUUAAUUAUCCCUUUAUGUUGUCAUGACAAAAUGAGAAAGUUGCUCACUCUAUAUGCUCCCAAUGAUUUAAUGGGCAUGAAUCAUCAAACACCCUUUCUUUUUCAACGUAUAUAAUUUCUCUCCAGAAUGCAGAGGAGACAGAGUGUUACAGACAAAAGGAGUUGAGACGGCUACUGAAGGAGGACAAAUAACACUUGCCUGUCAUUACGAAACAGACGAUCCAAGUCCAUAUCUAUUCUGGUACAAACAGGGAACAAACGA